Molecule: long non-coding RNA, 4539 nt
Organism: Bos taurus (domestic cattle)
Lineage: Eukaryota; Metazoa; Chordata; Mammalia; Artiodactyla; Bovidae
Source: Ensembl
AGGCAGCUAACAAGGAGGCUGAAGAUGAAGAAGAGCUGUCCUCAUGGGUGUGAAGUGGCCCUGAUUUGCAUCUCCCUAAUGACUGAGACACUGAUUUAUGCAGGAUUUUUCCAGAGGCCCAUUUACUCAAGCAGAGCCAACUGUUGAGACACAGCACCUGUCACUGAAGGGUGGGGGUCUGUUGGCCCGGGUGGCCUGGGCUGGCCGGCAUUUCCCGCCCCCAGGCAGGGGCCUGUCCUGAGCAGGCUUGCCUCUGGCGGACUCAUGCUCUCAAGCUCCCGCUGCACCUACCUACCGUCAAUCAUCACGUGGUAAGAACUGACUCAGUCACGCCUGCAGCGAAGAUGAGGCCCUGUGCUCCAGGAGCUGACCGAUGCCCGGACAAGCAGAAAUAGACACACGGGCAGGUGCAGACCUCCCCUGGUGCUUCUGGAAGCCUGGGCGAGGUGAGCACACUGCAAGACUGUCCACCAGCCUGUGAGACCGGCCGGCCACACAGGGGCACCACCUGAACUGAAUCCAGAAGGAAGCCCCAGGAGGGACGCUGACGCUGGGGGUGGGACGGGCCUCCCCAGGGCAGGAAAGCCAGGGUCCUGGGUGUAGCAGCAGGCAGAAAGAUGGGCCCAGCUGCCUCGGGCUCUGGAUGCCAGGCUGGUGCCUCCUCUGGAGGCGCGGGAAGGCUGUAGGAAGCCCCGGUGGCCACGCGUUGGGAGGGUGUGGGGCCGCUGCCCUGUGUCUGCUCCGGUCUCAGCGGGUGUGUGGCAGCUCCCCGCCCCCGCCUGCUGUUCUGUGGGGACUGCGGUCUGUGUCACACCCUGGUCACUGGUCCCGCCACACACGUGGCAGUGACACUGUGCUCACCCAGGACACAGGCGUCAUUUCUCAGACUCUUGAGGCUGAAGCGUGUAGGAGCAGGAAGCAAGGCUGUUUCUCCCAAGCGCUGCACCCAGCUCGUGGCACCCACCCUCAUCCAGGUGAGGGGACGGGAGGACGCAGAUGAACAGGGUUACUGACGCUGGAGUAAAUUCUAUUUUUCUUUGGCUCACUGGGCCCCAGCUGCAGUCUGUGGGAUCUCUGAUCUUCAUUGUGGCGUGCAGGACCUUUAGUUGCAGCAUGUGGGAUCUAGUUCCCUGACCAGGGAUCUAACCCAGGCCCCCUGAACUGGGAGCGUGGAGUUGUCAUUACUGGAGCACCAAGGAAGUCCCGGAAUACAUUUCAGAAAGAGCUGUCGGAUAACGAAUGAUUUAAGCAAAAUGAUCUUUCACCAUCGAGCACCAUGCGUGGCCUGUGGAACGACUGCAGGGCCUCCCCGGGGUCAUGUAGGGGUGAGCAUCCCGGGCCAUGAGCUGUGGGGAUGCCAACCCUCUCCCCAGGCCCCCGACCACCAUCUAGCCUGGUCUGCAGAGCACAGGCCUAUCCAUAGUCUCUCCUCCAGCACUGGGAACUCUUGCAAAACCAAUGAUUUAACUGCCCGUAAGUUUAAAAAAGACAAAAAACCAAAACACCAGUGAAUUUACCAGAACUCUGGCCCAGUGUGACUGGUGAUCAAAGUGAAAAAGCCCUAAGAUGGAUUUUUAAAAAGAGAUGAUAAUUCAGUUCUUUAUACAGCUUGACACGAGGAAACAGAUAUCCUUAACAGUGCAAGGUCCCCAAAUGCCUCCAUCUCUGGGUUUCUUGAAGAACAUUUGCCCAACCAUGAUUCUUUCGGUAAGUCACUUUGGUAACCUGGGGAACCCCAGGGCAUGAGCGAGAACUCCAGCAGGAGAUGUGGAUUCCUCUGAACUGGCCUCUCCAAUCUGCUGGAUUUGUUUGAGGCAGGGCUGUAGGAGCAGGGAAGGAGAGGUGAGACUGGUUUCCCCAUUUCCCAAGUUCUUCAGCAAAGGAAAAGGAAAACAUUAUUUUACUAUGUAUCAAUAGCAUUUUACUACACACACUUUAUGAACUUGUAGCAAACCUGACUUUCCAAGAUUAAACAUUUUUAAGUGGAUGGAAGUGAAAUGACCCUGGAACAGACUGUACCAGCCGUGAAAGGAUCUUGUUAAAGCUGCAGUUAACGCCUUGUUGGACUUCUUAUAUGGAAAAAGUUCUGCUUGACUUGAUCAUCCCAGCAAAAGAUCCCAUGGCAACCGGAAUUUUUUUCCCACAGCAGUUCAAGAAAGAAAGAAGGGUGGGGUAACAGAGCAGCCCAGGCUUGUCCCCUGAAGACACGUGACACAUCAUGGUGGUCACCGCCACCUGGGAGUUUGGCCUCUGAGAGAAUUUUGCUAAGCUUCAGAGUCCAGCAAGUCGGUUCAAUCUGUUUCUGGUGCCUCUGCCACCAGAUGUCCUGAGAGCAGACUUGGGACUCUGCUGAGACUGGCCUGGCUGCGGCCACACCGUAGGGAAGGCUUGCUCCCUCCUGGAACCGUGACAUCUUCCUGUGAGUCCCCAGGAAUGGAACAAGGGCAGAGGAAAAUAUGCAUGGAACACUGAGACUGGCAAAUAUGAAGGGACGCGUUCCUUUCAAAGACGACAUUCAAAGUGUUAGCUACUGCAAAUAGUCUGAAUAGCACAGAGUCUUCCCACAAAUCUCGUACUGCAGACUUCUCCCGCAUGUGCACCACCCAGCUUAGUCUGAGUGCCAGAGGUCAGACAGGCAGGCCUCUGGGGCUUUCAGGGCUUAGAGAGAAGGGCAGGUAAAGCAGGGCAUCUCGUGAAGUUACCCAAGAUCCUGCUCCCUGAGGCUGGCAUUGGGCAACACAGACACAGCAGCUGAAAAGCACACCAGGACCCGACGUCCCGGGCUGCAGGGAGAGACACGGCCAGGAGGUCAGUGCUCAGCACCUGAGUAACGCUGGCCCUGGCUCCUCCCAGAGGCAGCAUGCAGGCGGUCUGUCCGAGGGAAGGGAAGAGGGGAGAUGUGAGCUUCUCCUCCUGCCAGGGGUACCCUGGAGCCAUCUCCACGUAGUGUGCCUGAAAACCACACAGCUGAUGCGUGCGAUUCUAAGCAGCAGUGGCAUGGGGACACAGCACCACCCCAGCUGGCUCCAGGGCCGUUGGGGUACCCAGAGGCCCAGCAGCCCCACCCCUGGCAGAUCAGACAUCACCAACUGUCCUGGGUUGGCAGGCACAGGCACCACGGGCAGAAAUGUUACUGUGGCUUAAGAGUGCGAAAAGACCCUAAGAAGCCAAAGUCCCAGAGGUCAGUGUCCCACAGGCACCAAAAGCUGCUGCGGGGCCCGCUGGGCAGGCACCCAAGACAGCACCACGGGCCAUGGGCCAAGCUGGGUGAGCUCCUUAACAAGAUGGGGUGGGGUUGGGGGCAGGAUGCCUCUGAGGGAGGGCCACCGGACAGAAAGGUAUGAUCCAGAAUGUGGGAGUGUCACUUUUGAACUGCUUGACUCCUGAUGAGCAGAGACCUGUGUGUGAGGUCAGAACCGACAGGGAGCUUUAUCCCUUUCACUCUGUCCAGCAAGCAGUCUUUGCCCUGCAUUACCCAUGUUUCAUUUCUUCUACCUCCAUCUGCACUAUUGGGCGGGCUGCCUGGACAGCUAUGGGGUGUGACCUAGGGGGUUGGGCAGGAGCUGGCAGGGAGCAGUGUGCCCUAGGGCAUGUGGACUGCCGGCUACUGCUCUCCUGACCCACCUAGCAGAGGGGAGUUCUGUGGUCUGUGGGGGAGUUCCCGUGAUACUUUGACAAUGGGUUCCAGUUAGAAGUAUGUGACUGGGGUCCCUCUCCCAGGAUGCUUGUCCUGACAGGCCUGGUCAGAAAUGCCAACCCCCCCACCCUCUGCUCCAUGCACCAGACACAGCGGCCUAGCAGCUGGGUCACCCUCCUGUCUAAUGGGCAGGGUUCCUAAUGACCAGUGGGAAGUGUGGCCCCAAUUCCUUUCUGGACAGACUGAUCUCAUAAUCAGAGACAAUGCUAUCAACUAAGAGAAACCAACCAGACCGUGCACAUGGCAGACGGGGCAGUCCAGAGGCCUGAGGAAGCUGUCAGUUAAACUUGAGCGUGUCAGGCAGGCAGCAGAGGACUAUUUGAUUCCAGCUGUUCCGAAGUCUAAGGCCAGAGUAAACCCACUCACCUCUUUUCCCUGUUCUUACUCUAAGGUGUGCCACCUCUGACUCCUGGCCUGCCAAGGGUUAGGAGAACCGUCCCGGAGACCCAGGGGCCUGGGAGCACGGGAAUACCCCCAAAUCCCGCCAAUACCUCAGAGGGCCACAGGUGCAGUGUCAGGGCCUCAGGCUGCUGCCUGAGGUCUCCCUCCCGGCCCCAGAACAUAAGGCUCCCUGCACACUGGCUCGCAGGCGUGUCACCACACAGGAGCACCAAGCCCCCAGGCGGGCUGGGCUGCAGCCAGGGUCCUCCAGGCAGCACACGACCUUGCUUUUCUUUUAAAUCUUCCAGAUCUAGCUGCAAGGGCUCCCGAAGCUUCUUUGCCCCAUCUGGACCUGGAAACGGGCUGAUUUUUUAAAACCAAGAUUCUUGGCAUAUUUGGACACAAUGAAUACUGUGCCUUUCAUAUUUUCUUUGUAUUUCUCCAUAGUUGCUUGACCCAAC